This is a small RNA of Epilithonimonas sp., 98 nucleotides long. It matches the Rfam family "Flavo-1 RNA". Lineage: Bacteria; Pseudomonadati; Bacteroidota; Flavobacteriia; Flavobacteriales; Weeksellaceae. The record is from Rfam.
CCCUAGCCCUGAUUGGAGUGGAAAUCCCACAGCAAGCCCUUCAACAGGCUCAGGACAGGCUGGCUUGCGAGGAAUUGCAACGGAAAGCAGGUUCCCGG